UGUGACGUUACCAAACUGUUGCCUCGGCGGGAUCUCUGCCCCGGGUGCGUCGCAGCCCCGGACCAAGGCGCCCGCCGGAGGACCAACCAAAACUCUUAUUGUAUACCCCCUCGCGGGUUUUUUACUAUCUGAGCCAUCUCGGCGCCCCUCGUGGGCGUUUCGAAAAUGAAUCAAAACUUUCAACAACGGAUCUCUUGGUUCUGGCAUCGAUGAAGAACGCAGCGAAAUGCGAUAAGUAAUGUGAAUUGCAGAAUUCAGUGAAUCAUCGAAUCUUUGAACGCACAUUGCGCCCGCCAGUAUUCUGGCGGGCAUGCCUGUCCGAGCGUCAUUUCAACCCUCGAACCCCUCCGGGGGGUCGGCGUUGGGGAUCGGCCCUUUACGGGGCCGGCCCCGAAAUACAGUGGCGGUCUCGCCGCAGCCUCUCCUGCGCAGUAGUUUGCACACUCGCAUCGGGAGCGCGGCGCGUCCACAGCCGUUAAACACCCCAAACUUCUGAAAUGUUGACCUCGGAUCAGGUAGGAAUACCCGCUGAACUUAAGCAUAUCAA
Molecule: ribosomal RNA, 547 nt
Filed under: Trichoderma virens
Lineage: Eukaryota; Fungi; Ascomycota; Sordariomycetes; Hypocreales; Hypocreaceae
Description: eukaryotic LSU rRNA
Rfam family: 5.8S ribosomal RNA (bases 175-328)
Source: RNAcentral